AGUGAACGCUGGCGGUAGGCCUAACACAUGCAAGUCGAACGGCAGCACAGUAAGAGCUUGCUCUUACGGGUGGCGAGUGGCGGACGGGUGAGGAAUACAUCGGAAUCUACUUUUUCGUGGGGGAUAACGUAGGGAAACUUGCGCUAAUACCGCAUACGACCUACGGGUGGAAGCAGGGGAUCUUCGGACCUUGCGCGAUUGAAUGAGCCGAUGUCGGAUUAGCUAGUUGGCGGGGUAAAGGCCCACCAAGGCGACGAUCCGUAGCUGGUCUGAGAGGAUGAUCAGCCACACUGGAACUGAGACACGGUCCAGACUCCUACGGGAGGCAGCAGUGGGGAAUAUUGGACAAUGGGCGCAAGCCUGAUCCAGCCAUACCGCGUGGGUGAAGAAGGCCUUCGGGUUGUAAAGCCCUUUUGUUGGGAAAGAAAAGCAGCAGGUUAAUACCCCGCUGUUCUGACGGUACUCAAAGAAUAAGCACCGGCUAACUUCGUG
RNAcentral lists this ribosomal RNA (492 nucleotides) under uncultured bacterium. RNAcentral describes it as "partial 16S ribosomal RNA". It matches the Rfam family "Bacterial small subunit ribosomal RNA", at positions 29 to 507 of the family's 1533-position model. The record is from RNAcentral.